UCAACAUUUCCAUUUUUUUGACUAACAACAUAUAGCAUCAAUUAUUUUACAGGCCACUAAAGGCACCUAGCCCAGUGCACAUGCAACCCACAAGCCACAAGGACGAUGGGGCGGCCCAUCAAAAGGGGCCCAACCAGCUAGUCCAGCCGCCGCCAUGGAUGAACCCCCCUCUGCAUUGACAACCUCGCCCGUCAAGCUGCCCACAAAUGAUGAGCUGUUGGUCAAGGGCUUUCCUCCGCAAUCACCUAUCUGUGUCACCAUCAGCAAGCAGUUCAUUCUUGAACAAGCAAUUGAGAGAAUUGGUGGCACAAUCCAUCCAUUCACUUUCACCGACAUAGGCAGUGAUGA
Triticum dicoccoides is the source of this 348-nucleotide long non-coding RNA. RefSeq lists it as uncharacterized. The record is from RefSeq and is a predicted model, not a curated record. The transcript is spliced from 3 exons. NCBI's taxonomy places the organism in Eukaryota, Viridiplantae, Streptophyta, Magnoliopsida, Poales, Poaceae.